This 433-nucleotide ribosomal RNA is filed under the name uncultured bacterium. RNAcentral describes it as "partial 16S ribosomal RNA". It matches the Rfam family "Bacterial small subunit ribosomal RNA", at positions 29 to 507 of the family's 1533-position model. The record is from RNAcentral.
AACGAACGCUGGCGGCAGGCCUAACACAUGCAAGUCGAGCGAGGACUUCGGUCCUAGCGGCGGACGGGUGAGUAACGCGUGGGAACGUGCCCUUUGCUUCGGAAUAGCCCUGGGAAACUGGGAGUAAUACCGGAUGAGCCCUUUGGGGGAAAGAUUUAUCGGCGAAGGAUCGGCCCGCGUUGGAUUAGGUAGUUGGUGGGGUAAUGGCCUACCAAGCCGACGAUCCAUAGCUGGUUUGAGAGGAUGAUCAGCUACACUGGGACUGAGACACGGCCCAGACUCCUACGGGAGGCAGCAGUGGGGAAUCUUAGACAAUGGGGGAAACCCUGAUCUAGCCAUGCCGCGUGAGCGAUGAAGGCCUUAGGGUUGUAAAGCUCUUUCAGCUGGGAAGAUAAUGACGGUACCAGCAGAAGAAGCCCCGGCUAACUCCGUG